AUGGCUGCUUCUUCCUCUUCUUCGGACCCAUGGAUCAACCCAUUCCCAACUAGCAAGGGAUGGGUUGCCAUGCUUUAUGGUUCUGCGCGCGGCGACGAAGACCUCUUCGUCGACUACAUGAAGGUCGCCACGAGGUACACCAGCGUUCAAGGGCUGGUGGAUGGAGCAGAGGAAGUGAGGAAGAAGGCGACGAGUGAGGAGAAGCAACGCAUGGACCAGCAGUAUGGAAACCGAGGUAAGGGGAUCAUGCCAAUAGAUAUACUGCUAUGGGCAAUGAAAGAGGCGGGAUCCGCUGAUGCUGGGCAGAGGCAGCGGUGGGCAGACUACCACUACGUCGCUCCAGCACAAUCUACGGCUGAAGCAAAUGCAAACAAGCACCAAGAUGAUGACGACGACCUCCAGAUCAUCGCACCACCAGCACUGCAGGCUCGCCGCCGCCCUCCUCCCAUCAUCUUCAUCGAUGAAGACAAAGAUGACGAAGAACAGGAGGUGCAGAUACUGCCAAAUCAUCCUACCAAAGUGAAGCAGGAGGUACGACGCUCAGGCCGCUUAGCAGGGCAGGGAUCCAGGGCAGGCGCCUAA
RNAcentral lists this ribosomal RNA (582 nucleotides) under Triticum aestivum (bread wheat). RNAcentral's name for it is "partial small subunit ribosomal RNA". The record is from RNAcentral. Lineage: Eukaryota; Viridiplantae; Streptophyta; Magnoliopsida; Poales; Poaceae.